Molecule: long non-coding RNA, 5103 nt
Filed under: Sus scrofa (pig)
Lineage: Eukaryota; Metazoa; Chordata; Mammalia; Artiodactyla; Suidae
Description: lncRNA (ENSSSCG00000043417.2)
Source: RNAcentral
UGCAUAUUUGGGGAUAGAAUUGCCAGUCUGCAAAUGGACAGUUAUCUCUAUAUAAAAUGUGUUAAUCAUAGUUUUUCAAAUUGAGGACAUUAUGUUGCAUUUACUUAAUGCCCUCUAUUCAUAGAUCCAUAUUUUUAGUUUUUAUUAUUUUAUUAGGUGUUUUUAGCCAAUAAACAAAAAACCUUCAAGUCUAUGAAAUGGCCUUGGUCCUUGGGAACUCUAAUCCAAUGUUUCAUCAUGUUCAUUGAGAAACAGAGAAGUUACACUUUUCUCUGCAAUUCAUGCAAACACUUGAGUAGCAGUCUGAUUCGCAAGCAACUGAGUUUAGCAAAGAAUAAAUGACAAGAAACCUGCUCAUAUUACAUGAUGUGGCAUACAUGAUUCUAUGACUUCUUUGUCCCUAAAUAAUUGGAGUCGAGUCAAAAGAGAUAAUGCAUGUGAAAGCAUUUUGAAAACUGAAAGUUUUCAUUGUAAUGGAUCAUUAUUAUUCUAAUUACUACUAAUAUGAAGAACCUAAUAUAGCAUGAACCAAUUAUCAGGAUAAGAAUAUUUCUGAAGUUGUGAACAUUUGGUACCCAUUUGGUAUUUAGUUUUAUACUGUUUUGCUUUGUUCCCUAAUUGUUUCAUGAAUUUUAAUCUUAUCCCUCUACCCCAAGGAAGUUAUAAGCAUCUAUCAGCAUUCAGUCAUUUGAUACCAUUGAUUAUUUAAAAUAAUUUACUGACUGCUUACCAUGUGCCAGGCAUAGAGCUGAGCACUACAGUCAAAUCAGUGAAUAAGAUGCUUUUCUUACCCUCCAUGAGCUUUCUUCCUGGUGGAGAAGAUGAUGAAGGGAUGGCUGGAAGGCAGGUUGUGAGGGCCCUGACAGGAAUUUCAGAGCAGGAAGGGUGUGCCAGGCCUGGAAGGCUGAGGCCACCGUUGGUUAAAAAAUGAGAGGAAAUCCCGACGGUAAAGUACCAUGUGGAAAGGCUCUGUAGUGUGUGUGUGUGUGUGUGUGUGUGUGUGUGUGUGUGUGUGUGUGUGUGUGUGUGUGUAAAAGCACAGACUAUAUUACUGUGGAACUGCAGUAAUUCAAUAUGGCAGAAAUAACAAGUUGGGAGGGGGCAUUGUUUGAGAUGAAACUGAAAAAAGUUUCAAUCAUCUAUUACCAUAUAACAAGACACCCCAACACUAUACACUAAAAACAAAAAGCCACUGAGUUGCUCAUGAUUCCUCAAUUGGGUCAGAGUCUGCAGGAAAUUUUAUCUCAGUUUCAGCUGGUAUUGGCCCAGGCUCUGUAGGCACAUAGCAUCACUUCUGUCACAUUCUCUUUGUCAAACAGGUUGUAGGUAAAGGGCGAGAAACUGCACAAGGACCAGGAUGCGUGUACAGGGACAGGAGGAACUGUUCAUGGCCCUGACUGCACACAGUCUAUAGAACUAUCGGUACACACUGCCAUGGAGAGCUUGGCUUUAUCUAGAAGUCUGUGGCGUAACCACUAAAGGAGAUUGUGAUGAAUGGAAAAAAGAGGUCAUCUAUUUUUAGAAAGCUGACUCCUGGAAGGCAUUUGGAGUUGUGGCUUGGAGAAGAUGGGGUGAGCAGCAGAGAGGCCAUUUAUGAGCUGGUGCUAUGCUAUGGGGAGAAUAAUGAUUGCUGAGACUAGAAUGAUGGCCACUGGAAGGGCAGGGGGACAAGGGAGAGAUUCAUUCAUUCACUGAACGUUAUGCGAACAUUAUUUGAAUGACUACUCUAUGCAGGAGUGCUGAGAUUGCAGCCAGAGACAAAAAAAAAAAAAAACCCUCCAAAAAAUUAUCGCCCUCCUGGACCUGAGAUUCUAGUGGCAGAAACAGAAACAAGUCAAGGAUGUGAAAUACAUGUUUUAAAUGUGAAAAAAAUAUGUCAAAUGCAUGUUUUAAAGAAUAAAAGAGGGAAGAGAGAGGACAAAUUAAGGUCUGUGUGUUAAUUUUUGGUAAAGUACCCAGAGAUUGGUUUAUCGAAUAAGGAGUCAAAGGACAUGGGGCCCCUGGGGGGUGAACAUUCCAGGACAGUGGAAGAAGAAUUGGAAGGCCUUGCAUUAGUGUCCUGGGGCUAAGCAAUAGAAAUGUAUUGUCUCUCAAUUCCAGAGGCAAGAAGUCCGAGAUUCCGGUGUGUUUAGGGUUGGUUUCUUCCAAGAGCUGUAAGGAAAGGACCUAUUCCAGGCCUUUUUCUACCUUGCGGGGGUUUCCUGGCAAUCUUUGGCAUCUUUAACUUGUAGAUACCUCAUUCUGUCCCUUCAUCUUCACAAGGUAUUUUCUCUGUGUGUGUGUGUGUGUGUGUGUGUGUGUGUGUGUGUGUGUGUGUGUUUUCCUGUGUCCAAAUGUCCCCUUUUAUAAAGACACCAGGCUUAUUGGAGUGGACCCACCAUAUGACCUCAUUUUAACUUGAUUAUCUCUGAAAAGAUCCUGUUUGCAAAUAGAGUCACAGUCAGAGGUGCUGGCGGUUAAGAUUCCAACAUAUCUUUUUGGAGGAGAUAUAAGUCAACCCAUAGCAGGCCUUGAAGCAUGAGUAGGUUGGGCAGAGGAACUCAGAGGAGACCACGUGCCUGAAGGAAAGUGAGCAGAGGAAAGAUCUUAGAGGAUGAGAUCAGAGAGGUAAUGGGGCCCAGAUCAGGACAGGCCUUAAGGUUUUAGGAAGAAUGUCAGCUUUUCCUCUGUGUGAAGUGGGAAGCUAUUCAAGUAAUGGAGCAAGGGAACAACAUAUCCUGCCUUACAUUUUUCUAGGUUUGCUACAGCUACUGUGAAAGGGGCAAGGAAAAGACACUAUUAGACACUGUUAAAAGAUGACUCAGUAAUCUGAAGGGUUGAGAUAAUGGUUGUGGGACCAGAGGAACAGCAGUCUGAGAAGUGGUCAUGUUCCGGAUCUAAGGAUUCGCUGAGGAAGCAGGAAGGGCUAGGUAUCAAGGAUGAUUGUAAGCUCUGGAGCUUGAGUGAUGGAUGGAUGGUGUUGUCCUAAACUCCAGGUUUAGGAUUCUACAUCAAGAGCUCAGUUGUAGACAUGUGAAGUUGGAGAUGCUGCUUGGAUAUCCAGAUGGAGAUGUCAGGCAUACCACUGCAUAUGCAAAUCUGUAUCUCCAGAAAGUUUAGACUGGAGGUAGAAAUUUGGAAGUCAUCAGUACAUGAAUUGUAUUUUUAAAACACACAACAUGCGGUAAAUGACACUCUGAGGUGUUUUGUUUGUUUGUUUGUUUGUUUUUUGGCUGCCCCACAGCAUGUGGAGUUCCUGGGCCAGGGAUCAGAUCCAAGCUGUAGUUGUGACCUACAAUGUGGCUGUGACAACACCGGAUUCUUAAUCCACUGUGCUGGGCUGGGGAUCAAACCUGCAUCCCUGGGCUGUAGAGAUACCCACCAAUCCCACCGAGCCACAAGGGGAACUGCCCUCUGUGAGUUUUCCAUGCAAAAUCAGAAUCAUAACCCUUCCCUCACACCAUUACAGUGAAAAUCAACUGAAAUCUAAACAUGAGGGUUUAGUAUAAAGGGCUUCAAUAAAGGCUCAUGAUGUGAGCUGCGAUUUAAAUUAGUGAAACCUUGGCAACUGCCCUCUGAAUUUUUGUCACUUGCCGCUCCCUCCCAAUGGCUGGGUUUGAUUCCUAAGUACCUUGAACUAUAAUGUGCAUAUUUCCUAAGGAAAGCCCCUGCCUUCUGCAGGUGGCUAUAGCAGGCUCGUAAUCCUUCCCCAUCCAGGGUUUAGAAGUGGUUCAGAGAAAGUCUUCAGCGGCGGGCGGAGGGUUAAUCCUGCGCCAGUGGGGAUGUGCAGACCAGGAGCCGGUCUAAAUCUCAAUACGGCGUGCUGCCUUAGGGAUCAUCAUGUACUAAAGCCCAAGAUAAAAAGGCCUGACAAAGAUUAUUGACGGUUUACCUUUUAAUGAGCAGCUGGGAUUGAUUCUGACCCCCUCUGGGAUGGCUUUCUCUGUCCUUCCUCCACCCAAGAGGCCAUGGGGAACGACAACAACAACAAAAUACAGAGCUCCGAUUUGAAUAAUUGCAAGGAUUUGCUUUCUAGCAAAUAAAGUUUCCAUGCGUAAGACAUGGCUCGCCUCUUUAAAAAUAUAUGUGUAAAUAUAUAUAUGAUUGUUAUGAUUCACAUGAUUAUUAUUAAGCACUUCUGAUGCACUGGAUUAUUUUCAAAGAGGCUGGUUGUCUCUAAUUGGAUAUUGUUGGCAAUUUUCCUCUGGGUAGGUCAGCAGUGUUAACUCUUAAUCAUCCAAGGCAAUUAAAUGCACAUGGUUCUAACCUAUGUUCCUAAGGCUGCUGACUCGUUAAUGUAGUUAUAAUGGUAGAGGCAGGUGUUGACGUGCUAUUCAGGAAGAAGUGGUAGUGUGAGCUCUUGCACAUCUGUUUUGAGAAAGGGAAAUCAUGCCUCUGCAAAUGGCAAUGGACAACAGUCAUGGAGAUACUAACCUGCAGGUACUUACCAGUAUGCACGUUGGACCUAAUUCCUCCCUUUGCAUGGAGCCAGAGCUCCAUCUGAGCCUCUGCAUACUUUGCUGAGCUUAGAAUGUGGCAUUAGGUCACCGUUGGGGCGGAAACGAUGGUUACUGGAAGUAGUCGUGAAUAGGAAGAGCCAUAGAGGAAAAAGAGGAAUUUUGAGAUCUUUGAGACAAUUUGAAUAUGUUGUGAUCCUCAGAAAACCAACAAUUAAGUUGGUUUUGACUUUACAGCCUUGAAUCUCCCACCAUACCUGAUCCAUUGUAGACAUGGGAUGGGGAUAUCUGUAAUAAUGUUGUUUUGACCUUCCAUGACCUCAAACCAACUAGGAUGGUGGUUUUAGACACUGGGACCCACCUAAGAAAUACAGUUUACAUUUUGACUCAGUACAUGUACAUGUAACCAAAUCAAAAUUUCAUAGAACAAGAAAGUUCCCAUUGUGGCUCAGUGGUAACAACCAGACUGGUAUCUAUGAGGAUGCGAGUUCAAUCACUGGCCUUGUUCAGUGGGUUAAGGAUCUGAUGUUGCCAUGAGCUGUGGUAUAGGUUGUAGACACAGCUCAGAUCCAGCAUUGCUGUGUCUGUGGAGUAGGCCAGCAGCUGCAGCUCUGAUUUGACCCCUAGCCUGGGAACAUCCAUAUGCCAUGGGUUCAGCCCUAAAAAG